RNAcentral lists this microRNA (19 nucleotides) under Sus scrofa (pig). RNAcentral describes it as "ssc-mir314". Lineage: Eukaryota; Metazoa; Chordata; Mammalia; Artiodactyla; Suidae. The record is from RNAcentral.
AAUCGGUGGUGUGACAAAC